GGGUUGUGAGGUUAAGCGACUAAGCGUACACGGUGGAUGCCCUGGCAGUCAGAGGCGAUGAAGGGCGUGCUAAUCUGCGAUAAGCGCCGGUAAGGUGAUAUGAACCGUUAUAACCGGCGAUACCCGAAUGGGGAAACCCAGUGUGAUUCGUCACACUAUCAUUACGUGAAUACAUAGCGUAAUGAAGCGAACCGGGGGAACUGAAACAUCUAAGUACCCCGAGGAAAAGAAAUCAACCGAGAUUCCCCCAGUAGCGGCGAGCGAACGGGGAGGAGCCCAGAGCCUGAAUCAGCAUGUGUGUUAGUGGAAGCGUCUGGAAAGGCGCGCGAUACAGGGUGACAGCCCCGUACACAAAAGCGCAUGUGUUGUGAGCUCGAUGAGUAGGGCGGGACACGUGGUAUCCUGUCUGAAUAUGGGGGGACCAUCCUCCAAGGCUAAAUACUCCUGACUGACCGAUAGUGAACCAGUACCGUGAGGGAAAGGCGAAAAGAACCCCGGCGAGGGGAGUGAAAAAGAACCUGAAACCGUGUACGUACAAGCAGUGGGAGCACCCUUUGGGGUGUGACUGCGUACCUUUUGUAUAAUGGGUCAGCGACUUAUAUUCUGUAGCAAGGUUAACCGAAUAGGGGAGCCG
This 634-nucleotide ribosomal RNA is filed under the name Salmonella enterica subsp. enterica serovar Typhimurium. RNAcentral's name for it is "partial 23S ribosomal RNA". It matches the Rfam family "Bacterial large subunit ribosomal RNA", at positions 1 to 668 of the family's 2925-position model. Lineage: Bacteria; Pseudomonadati; Pseudomonadota; Gammaproteobacteria; Enterobacterales; Enterobacteriaceae. The record is from RNAcentral.